ACCCCCCUCCCUAGGGUUUGCUUAGGAAAUUGCGUGGUUCCUAACCCAAACCCAACCCACCUUCUUCUCUCUCUCCGUCUCUCUCUCUCUCUCUCUUUCUCUCCCAUGGUGGAUUUCUAUAUUUAGUGGCCUAGAUCGGGUGUGACUCAAACCCCACACCUUCCUUUUUUCCCUCUCUCAAACAUAAACAGAGAUAAUCAUGGAGCUUUUUCCCCAAGAUUAGUAACUGGGUUUUGCUUGCUUUGUGGCAAUUCAAACGGGUUUUGUGGGGCUUUCCUCCAUUUUCUUUGAUUUUGACCCUUAUUUUCUUCCUCGCCAAACACCUUUCUCUCUCCCUCUUUCUCUUCCGUACAUAUAGAUAUUUAUAUACACCCCCACUACUCCUCUCUUCAUCAUCCCUCCCACCUGAUUUCCUGGUUUUACACUAAUCCCCAUAAUUCGUCUUCUAAUCUUUCAAAACAUUCAUUUUCUUGGAGAAUCUUAAUCAGGGUUCCUCAAACCAUGCCUCGUAUACCCUCAGAAGACAUGUGUGUAUGUAGAUUCAAAUAUGCAUACAUGAUUACAUGCAUAUCUCAUGCUAUAUAUUCAUUACAUGAAUUCAUGAUACAUGUAUAGAUAUAUAUAUAUAUAUAUAUAUAUAUACACAUAUAUGUGUAGGCAUGAGGUACGCAUGUGAGUGUUGUGCCUGGCUCCCUGUAUGCCAUUUGCAGAGCCCACCGAGCAUCGCUGGCCUCCGUGGAUGGCGUAUGAGGAGCCAUGCAUACUCCCACAUAUAUUAUCCAUGCCUCUUUUUUUUUUGUCUUCUGCAGAUUUUUCCUCUUCCCUGUAAGGGUAGUUUCGUUAUUAUAGGAGGGAACUGAGGGCAGCAAUGUAAUUUCGGGAGGGUGUUUGGGAUUGCAAUUUUGCAGAUGAAAUUUCCUGAUCUUCUCUGAACAAAGGUACUUCUUCUACUUCACAUAUAUCUCUUAUUCUAUUUCCUUCCUGCAUGCUCAUAUUUUGGGUACUUGGGUGAUGUUUCUGCAGAUAAACCAUAUGUAUACAUGUAUACAUAGACCAUAUAUACAUAUAUAUAUAUGUAUAAACUUUUCUUGAGUGGUAAACUAAAAAAUGCGUGGAAGAAUAUUACCGAUGGUUUCUCGAAUAUUCCAAGAGUUUCAGAUCCUCCACAUAUAUAUAUACACAUAUAGGUACUUGGGCAAUUUUCCAGCUAUGGAAAACAAAUAUGUAUAUAUGUAUAUAUAUAUCCACAAACCUAAAUCACAGGGAUUCAUUACAACUGUAAACCUGUCCAACCGAAACAUGUAUGUAAACGAGACUAAAUCUUCAUAGGUAAUAAUAUUAUAAGCUGUUAUUUUGCACAAAUCACAUAACCGAGUAAUUCUUAUAAUGAAUUAUAUCAUCAAAUAACAUUUGCUUCAUCACUUAUUAAUUAGUUGUAAUAUAUAUACACAUGUAUGUUUAUAGCUAGAUCCAGUUUAUAUGUAGACGUGUGUGUAUAUAUAUGUAGUGCUGGAAUAUGAUUAUAGCCAUUUGAUAUAUGGACGUAUUAUGAUUAUUAUACCAGCUGUCUGUGUUUGUUAAUGAUAAUUAGCUUAUUUAGUUCACUUAAAACCAAGUUGCUCAGUUAUGUAUAUAUAUAUAUAUAUAUACACACACAAGAACAUAUUUAUAUAUAUGGGAUUUUAUGAAAUGAGAUCCCAUUUGAUCUCAUAAGCUAGCUGCUGGGCUGGGGUUUAAGAGAAAACCUACAUGAUCAAACACAAAAGCCAACAUAAAAUAAUGAACUAGUAUAUUAUAUAUAUAUAUAUAUGGAGUACAUUACAUAUAUAUAUUUUUAUUAAACUAACUAGUAAUUAAGGUUAGUUUCUUGAUUAACAAAACAGACGUUUUUCCUGACCCAUAAUAGACAUGAUUGUUAAUGCACCUUGUUGUCAAUAGCUACUGGAACUACUAGUACUAAUCAUGAGUAUUUUCCACAGUACAUAUACGCAUAUACAUAUAUAAUAUAGCAAUUGUAUCAAUAUCGUGUUCUAUUAUAUUUUAGUUAGAAAGAGUUUAUGCAUAUAGGUUUUAAAAAUUAAAAAAUGGUAAUAAAAAGAGACAUAUGUGUAUACAUCACAAUGUAUCUAUCAAGCUAAGUUGGUCAAGCAAGAUAUGGAGGUACAAAACCUAUCCAUCUUUACGUAAUAUCUUUCUUUCUCAUUUUCUUUCUCUUUCUCUGUCACCAAACAAGGGAAAGUGUGUGAAAGAAAUUAUCAAAGUUAUGGAAAAGAAAAGUAAAAGUGAUGAUGAUGAUGGUGAUUAUAGGUAGCUAUAUACUAUAUACUGUACUGUGUGUUUGGGAGUGGGGGAAUCUAAAUGGACCACCUUCAAACUCUGAUUCAACAAUAGGUUAUUAUAAUAAAUAUAUAUAUAUAUAUAGAUAUACGGUCAAAGCAGGUCAAAUAUAAAGAAAAAGAAAAGGACAUUGCUCAGUCCAAAACACUUUGGACCACCUUCAAGAUCUCCUGAAAUCAAUUGGAUCUCUUCCUUUUUCUUUUUAAUUAAUACAUAUACAUACACAUACAUAUAUAUAAUUGAUUUAUGAUAUACAGAGAACUUGUGGUUGAUCUACCCAUUCAAUGUAAUUAAUAAAACAUGACCAAUAUAUAUGUAGAUAUACAUAUAACUCAUGAGUAAACUUACUUAGAUUUUUGUCCAAGUUAUACAAUAAUAAUCAGUAAAAUAAAUGGAAAAUAUACAUAACCCAUAAGAUGUUUUCAUGUUAGGUUGAUAAGAAAUUAAUGUUUAUUAUAUCAUAUCACGCACUAUAUUACAGUUGAUGUGUGCGUGUGUGUGUGUGUGUGUAUGUAUAUAUCGAUAAUUUAAAAGAAGUAAUUAUUUUUUCACAUGAGCUGCAUGCUUGCGGCCUCACAUACAGAACAUUCUCCCUGGAUGGAUCUGCAGAGAUGAAAAAAAGAAGGGAGGUGGGAGGUGGGAGGUGGAAUAGGGCGGGGUCCACCUUCUUCCUCCUUUCAUUGUGUUUUAUGCUGUUGCAGGUUGUACCCUGUACGCGAUCAUCAUGAUCAGUCUCUCAGAAAGUAGAUUCUGUAUCCUCCUCUCUAUAGCCCUUAGCAUACAUGUAAAUACAUAUAUAUAUAUAUAUGUACAUCUCUCUCUCUGUCUCUCAAUUUCUGAUGAUCAUCAGAAAUAUUAUAUAAAACACAAAAAGAAUAGAAGGGGAAAGAAUAAAUAUAAUGUCAUUUAAUUUCUUGCAAUCGUAUACUAUUACAUUAUUAUAUUAUAUAUAACGAAUUAUAAUGAGAAUAUACAAAUGCAUGGUGCACAGCAAGCUAGACUAGCCAAAUGAUUUCUUGAUGGGUACGGAAAUUAAAGAAAAAGUUGAUGGGAAAUUAUGACAUUAUUGUGUUUACAAUCUGUCAUACAGGGAUACAUAUACAUUAAUAUAUAUAUAUAUAUAUAUAUGAAAUUCAUCAUGUCGAUCGACCUGAUCCCAUCUUUUUAGGAUUUUCAUGUAACUCAAGAGGAAUAGUAACCUCACGAUAAAUCUUCUUUCCUUUUUUAAUAAUACUGUACUGGGAAUUCAAAGAAAAAGUAGGAGCAAUUAAUUAAAGCCUGAUUCUUUUAAUCUUUUGAUUACUUGUUUUUGUUUACUGAAGUUUAAUACUUAAUCAGAUCGUAUGUGUGUGUGUAUAUAUAUAUAUAUAUAUAAUGAUCAGUGUGUUGUUACCAUCACUAUAUGUAUAAUUUGUAUCUGAAAUACGACCUCCGUAUAUGUAGUACUUAUAGAACUAUUUACAAAAACCAAGUCCGACAGUACUACGUAGAAAUAGAAAGAUUCAUGGAGGUUAUGGAAAAUGGAUAUAUUUGUAUAUACAUAUAUGUCUGUGCAUAUAUAUAUAUAUAUGUGUGUGUGUGUGUCUGCAAGAAGUUAGCUUUUGGUAGAGGUUGUGUGUCUAGAGGGUAAAAGAUCUGCAUAUGGUAGUGCAAGCCUGUAUCUCAUGCUUUGAAAUGUGUCGUUUUACUUUUCAGCCAUAGAUUUCCAAUACGUCUGCUCUUUCCUAUAUAUAUAUAUAUAUACAUACACAUAUACAUAUAUAAUUAUAAAAGCACACGCUUUCUUCUUAUCAAUUCCUGUGUAAAAAAACAGCCC
This 4153-nucleotide long non-coding RNA is filed under the name Carica papaya (papaya). RNAcentral describes it as "long non-coding RNA (CPAP_LNC008645)". The stretch from base 680 to 764 matches the Rfam family "mir-160 microRNA precursor family". The record is from RNAcentral. Lineage: Eukaryota; Viridiplantae; Streptophyta; Magnoliopsida; Brassicales; Caricaceae.